Molecule: long non-coding RNA, 1397 nt
Filed under: Parus major (Great Tit)
Lineage: Eukaryota; Metazoa; Chordata; Aves; Passeriformes; Paridae
Description: lncRNA (ENSPMJG00000004313.1)
Source: RNAcentral
GGGAAGGGUUUGUUACCUGAAUGUGGAGGUGGGAUGUUGAUCCCACAGUUCCUUCCAGCUGCCAAACAAGCAGGGACAAGGACAAAGAAGAAUGAGCAGCUGGUGAGGAAUUUCCAGUGGAAUCCCAGCUGGCAGCUGUAGGGCUGUUCCCUCUUGUAAGGGUACAGAAAUAAGGACCAGAAUAAGGGUAAUGGUAUUUCCCAAGAAAUCCCCUUGGAUUUGUCCUGGACAAUUAAUCAAGUUCAGGCUGUGCAUUCACAAUUACAGGAUUAACAGCAAGAGAUCUGAGUGUUGUAUGGGUCAGCAGGGCUUCAUUUGUUUCAAGAAAAUACCUGCUUUGAUUUUAAUAAUUCCAUAAAACUAACUGGAUCGCCUUUUUCUCUAAUUCUGCAUAUUCAAAAGCACUUUUUACUAUUUUUGGCAUUCUGAAAUGCCUUCCAGAUCUGCAAAUUUUGGAGUGCCAGAAUGUUUGUUUCCUGUCUGUGCAUUUUGACCGUCCUUUAUCCAGUAACAGUUGAACACCUCCAGCUCUUAAGCCAUUCUCCUGAUCUUCUUUUUCACAGCCAAUAAAAAUAAACUGAAGUGUUUUACCACUGCAUGUGGUAUAUGCAGAUAAAAGUGUUAUCAGAAUAAAGGAACUAUCUGCAUGGAUGUCUGCAUUCUCUUCUUUGAGAAUCAAAACAUAAUCUGAACAGAAAUAAAUGCAACACUUUGUCAGAGUGAGAUACUGAGUCUCAGAAAUCUCCAAAUGUCAUAAAUUACAGACACACAUCAGCAAUUUGGUUCUCAAACCCAAAGACUCAGCUACUUUUGUGUCAGCUGGCCAAAGAGAAGAGGAAUGAGUGGAAUUUCCUUGUUUGUGUUAUCAAAAGGACUAAACAAGACAUUACGGUGGCUUUCUCUAAUUUCUGCCUUGGUGACUCCACAAGGCAGGGAGGAAAGAAUGAGUGAAAACUCCUGAAUGAAAACUCCUCUGCUUGGACAGCCACAUGGGAGGAUAAAAACAGGACAGAUUAAGUGUUCUGGGAGAGAGGGAUUUCCUGAGGAAUCCAAAAGUCACUCUGUUUUUCCUCUGGCCACAAUUCCUCAGUUACAUCGGGUUCAAAGAUCCUGCUCUUGUCUCAUUUUGGAAGCUGAACCAUCCUAAAUGUAUCUUGGUCCUGCAGAAAAUCCCCAGAGGAAAGCAAAGGCUCGAGGAGCAGAGCUGUGUCUGAGCAGGAAGAGGGAUUCAUCUCACCCAACCUUUAUGUAUCCAAACCAGAACCAAGAAAUCCCAAACAAAACACAAGAAAUUGUCUGAAUUUGGAGAGUUCAUUUUAAAACUGCUAAAGUGAGAGGAAGAAAAGAAAAUGAGUGGUCUCUAACUGGUCUCUAAAUAAAAUCCUUCUUCCCUUUCA